This 497-nucleotide ribosomal RNA is filed under the name Lacticaseibacillus rhamnosus. RNAcentral's name for it is "bacterial SSU rRNA". It matches the Rfam family "Bacterial small subunit ribosomal RNA", at positions 51 to 512 of the family's 1533-position model. The record is from RNAcentral. Lineage: Bacteria; Bacillati; Bacillota; Bacilli; Lactobacillales; Lactobacillaceae.
CUAUAAUGCAGUCGAACGAGUUCUGAUUAUUGAAAGGUGCUUGCAUCUUGAUUUAAUUUUGAACGAGUGGCGGACGGGUGAGUAACACGUGGGUAACCUGCCCUUAAGUGGGGGAUAACAUUUGGAAACAGAUGCUAAUACCGCAUAAAUCCAAGAACCGCAUGGUUCUUGGCUGAAAGAUGGCGUAAGCUAUCGCUUUUGGAUGGACCCGCGGCGUAUUAGCUAGUUGGUGAGGUAACGGCUCACCAAGGCAAUGAUACGUAGCCGAACUGAGAGGUUGAUCGGCCACAUUGGGACUGAGACACGGCCCAAACUCCUACGGGAGGCAGCAGUAGGGAAUCUUCCACAAUGGACGCAAGUCUGAUGGAGCAACGCCGCGUGAGUGAAGAAGGCUUUCGGGUCGUAAAACUCUGUUGUUGGAGAAGAAUGGUCGGCAGAGUAACUGUUGUCGGCGUGACGGUAUCCAACCAGAAAGCCACGGCUAACUACGUGCCAGC